CCUACGGGGGUCUGCAGUGGGGAAUAUUGGACAAUGGGCGAAAGCCUGAUCCAGCCAUGCCGCGUGUGUGAAGAAGGCCUUCGGGUUGUAAAGCACUUUCAGUGGGGAAGAAAGCCUUGGGGCUAAUACCCUCGAGGAAGGACAUCACCCACAGAAGAAGCACCGGCUAACUCCGUGCCAGCAGCCGCGGUAAUACGGAGGGUGCGAGCGUUAAUCGGAAUUACUGGGCGUAAAGCGCGCGUAGGCGGUCUGAUAAGCCGGUUGUGAAAGCCCCGGGCUCAACCUGGGAACGGCAUCCGGAACUGUCAGGCUAGAGUGCAGGAGAGGAAGGUAGAAUUCCCGGUGUAGCGGUGAAAUGCGUAGAGAUCGGGAGGAAUACCAGUGGCAAAGGCGGCCUUCUGGACUGACACUGACGCUGAGGUGCGAAAGCGUGGGUAGCAAACAGGAUUAGAUACCCUAGUAGUC
Molecule: ribosomal RNA, 465 nt
Filed under: Vreelandella stevensii
Lineage: Bacteria; Pseudomonadati; Pseudomonadota; Gammaproteobacteria; Oceanospirillales; Halomonadaceae
Description: partial 16S ribosomal RNA
Rfam family: Bacterial small subunit ribosomal RNA
Source: RNAcentral